GUCCUAGCCCUAAACGAUGCUCAUUAGGUGUGGGAGGUAUCGACCCCUUCCGCGCCGUAGCUAACGCAUUAAAUGAGCCGCCUGGGGAGUACGGCCGCAAGGUUGAAACUCAAAGGAAUUGACGGGGGCCCCGCACAAGCGGUGGAGCAUGUGGUUUAAUUCGACGCAACGCGAAGAACCUUACCUGGGCUUGAACUACUGGUAGUAAGUCUUUGGAAACAUAGACUGAUCCGCAAGGAAGCCAGCAGAGGUGCUGCAUGGUUGUCGU
Molecule: ribosomal RNA, 268 nt
Filed under: uncultured bacterium
Lineage: Bacteria
Description: partial 16S ribosomal RNA
Rfam family: Bacterial small subunit ribosomal RNA
Source: RNAcentral